AGAGUUUGAUCCUGGCUCAGGAUGAACGCUGGCGGUAUGCUUAACACAUGCAAGUCGAACGAAUGACUUCCCUUUUUGAUGGGAUUUGGGUGAGGAACGCGGAAUAAUCUACCGUCAAGCUGCCUCCUACAGGGGAAAACCCCUGCUAAUACCAAAUGGACCGAAAGGGGAUUGUUAAUUGCCCGAUGAUGAGAUGGCGUCUGAUUGCAUAGUUAGUGUGGUAAGGGCUUGGCUCAGCCAAGCGAUCAGAAACGUAUCUGACAUGAGAGGGCAGAUCACACUGCGUCUGAGACACGACCCAGACUAGACUCGGGAGGCAGCAGUGCAGUGUUUUAUGCACACAAUGAGAGCCUGCCGGAGCCAGCACGCGUGAGGGAGGAAGGCUGGCGGUUGGUAAACCUCUUUUCUCAGUCAAGAACAAAUAAACGGUACCGAGAGAAUCAGCAUCGGCUAACUCCGUGCCAGCCAGCGCGGUAAUACGGAGGAUGCAAGCGUUUCCGGAAUGAUUGGGGGUAAAAGGGAGCAGGGCGGAUUUUUAGUUGAGAUCAAAAUAUUGGGGUUUACCCUAGAGAGGCCGUUUCAAAUGAAAAGUUAGAGUACCGUAGGGGGAGAGGGAAUUUCCGGUGUAACGGUGAAAUGGGUAGAGAUCGGGAAGGACCCCCGUGGGGGAAGCGGUUUGUUAGGCCUGUAAUGGCCGUGAGGGCUGGAAAGUAGGGGGGGGAAUCGGGUUAGAUACCCCAGGAAUUCCAGCCGUAAACGAUGGAUUAUAGGGGUUAGGGGUAUUGACCCCAUCAGUGCCGUAGCUAACGCGUUAAGUAUUCCGCCUGGGGAGUACGGGCGCAAGAGUGAAACUCAAAGGAAUUGACGG
Molecule: ribosomal RNA, 868 nt
Filed under: uncultured bacterium
Lineage: Bacteria
Description: bacterial SSU rRNA
Rfam family: Bacterial small subunit ribosomal RNA
Source: RNAcentral